This is a long non-coding RNA of Perca fluviatilis (European perch), 814 nucleotides long. RefSeq lists it as uncharacterized. The record is from RefSeq and is a predicted model, not a curated record. The transcript has 7 exons. Lineage: Eukaryota; Metazoa; Chordata; Actinopteri; Perciformes; Percidae.
CACAGGCAGAUUAGAGCGGUGCACUCCCAUGGUAGCUACCAUUGGGAGAGAGGAGCAGCUGUGUCCUGUUGCUACACACGAAAGGCACGAAGCUGUCGUGUGUUAACAGCAAGACACAUUUGAAACGCGGUCGACAAGUUUCCUCAGACAAGACUUCAGAGGCAAAUCAGAGAGACCACAGAAACUCCGCUGGCCGAGCUUCCAGAACUCCCAUCGGCCCAGCUCCAGAUUAGCUGCCAGUCUGUGCUACAGAUGAAUCUACUCCAGAAGCUCUCCCUGCUGCAGCUCACUGCUCUGCUGGAGAGACACACCCCUACAAACAAACAUGGCUUUAGCUGGGCUGUGCCAAGGUUUAUGAAGCGGAUCAAGGUGCGUGAAUAUGUUCGGUGUGCCACUACAAGUCAUCGUCCAGCGGACAGGCCAGCCCCUCCCUCAGGGCAUUCAGCAGGCCAUGCGCUAUUUACGCAGCCAGUGUCUCGACCAGAUCCCAGGGGAGAUGAAUCGCUGCAGGAACUCUUAUGUGGAGCAGGCGCUGCUGUCGCGAUGGCUGGAGGACCUCUCCGGGGACAGAGAACAAAACUUGUCCCUCUGUUUGACUGAGUCCAAAAGCUGAUAAGGAAGAUUUUGUUUACAGCACCUCCACACAUUGGACUUGGGUAAGGAGGACACCCACCAGACACACCACUGUGUGAGCACCAAAUGCAGAUACUUUGAGGCGUGGUUGAACUGGCUACCUCCGCUGGUGAAUCCUGAGCAUUAUACUGCAUAAGAACUGUAAGAUGAGUGUAUUUACAUGAGAUGAUUUUAUUUAAAU